This is an RNA transcript of Oncorhynchus tshawytscha (Chinook salmon), 2099 nucleotides long. RefSeq lists it as uncharacterized. The transcript is spliced from 4 exons. The record is from RefSeq and is a predicted model, not a curated record. Lineage: Eukaryota; Metazoa; Chordata; Actinopteri; Salmoniformes; Salmonidae.
UAACUGUAAGUCUCUCUGGAUCAGAGUGUCUGCUAAAUGACUCACUAACUGUAAGUCUCUCUGGAUCAGAGUGUCUGCUAAAUUACUAAAAUGUCAAUGUAGAAAAUGUACGUUCAACACUCUGUGUAUACAACCACUUAACUUGUCAUGGAGUGUUCUAACACUGUGUAUAAUGUGAUAAUGGAGUGUUCUAACACUGUGUAUAAGGUGAUAAUGGAGUGUUCUAACACUGUGUAUAAUGUGAUAAUGGAGUGUUCUAACACUGUGUAUAAUGUGAUAAUGGAGCGUUCUAACACUGUGUAUAAGGUGAUAAUGGAGUGUUCUAACACUGUGUAUAACACUGUGUAUAAUGUGAUAAUGGAGUGUUCUAACACUGUGUAUAAGGUGAUAAUGGAGUGUUCUAACACUGUGUAUAACACUGUGUAUAAUGUGAUAAUGGAGUGUUCUAACACUGUGUAUAAGGUGAUAAUGGAGUGUUCUAACACUGUGUAUAAGGUGAUAAUGGAGUGUUCUAACACUGUGUAUAAUGUGAUAAUGGAGUGUUCUAACACUGUGUAUAAGGUGAUAAUGGAGUGUUCUAACACUGUGUAUAAGGUGAUAAUGGAGUGUUCUAACACUGUGUAUAAGGUGAUAAUGGAGUGUUCUAACGCUGUACAAUGUGAUAAUGGAGUGUUCUAACACUGUGUAAUGUGAUAAUGGAGUGUUCUAACACUGUGUAUAAGGUGAUAAUGGAGUGUUCUAACACUGUAUAAGGUGAUAAUGGAGUGUUCUAACACUGUGUAUAAUGUGAUAAUGGAGUGUUCUAACACUGUGUAUAAGGUGAUAAUGGAGUGUUCUAACACUGUGUAUAAGGUGAUAAUGGAGUGUUCUAACGCUGUACAAUGUGAUAAUGGAGUGUUCUAACGCUGUACAAUGUGAUAAUGGAGUGUUCUAACACUGUGUAUAAGGUGAUAAUGGAGUGUUCUAACACUGUGUAUAAUGUGAUAAUGGAGUGUUCUAACACUGUGUAUAAGGUGAUAAUGGAGUGUUCUAACACUGUGUAUAAUGUGAUAAUGGAGUGUUCUAACACUGUGUAUAAGGUGAUAAUGGAGUGUUCUAACACUGUGUAUAAGGUGAUAAUGGAGUGUUCUAACACUGUAUAAGGUGAUAAUGGAGUGUUCUAACGCUGUACAAUGUGAUAAUGGAGUGUUCUAACACUGUGUAUAAGGUGAUAAUGGAGUGUUCUAACACUGUGUAUAAUGUGAUAAUGGAGUGUUCUAACACUGUGUAUAAGGUGAUAAUGGAGUGUUCUAACACUGUGUAUAAGGUGAUAAUGGAGUGUUCUAACACUGUGUAUAAGGUGAUAAUGGAGUGUUCUAACACUGUGUAUAAGGUGAUAAUGGAGUGUUCUAACACUGUGUAUAACUAACACUGUAUAAUGUGAUAAUGGAGUGUUCUAACACUGUGUAUAAUGUGAUAAUGGAGUGUUCUAACACUGUGUAUAAGGUGAUAAUGGAGUGUUCUAACACUGUGUAUAAUGUGAUAAUGGAGUGUUCUAACACUGUGUAUAAGGUGAUAAUGGAGUGUUCUAACACUGUGUAUAAUGUGAUAAUGGAGUGUUCUAACACUGUGUAUAAGGUGAUAAUGGAGUGUUCUAACACUGUGUAUAACACUGUGUAUAAUGUGAUAAUGGAGCGUUCUAACACUGUGUAUAAGGUGAUAAUGGAGUGUUCUAACACUGUGUAUAAGGUGAUAAUGGAGUGUUCUAACACUGUGUAUAAGGUGAUAAUGGAGUGUUCUAACACUGUGUAUAAUGUGAUAAUGGAGUGUUCUAACACGGUGUAUAAGGUGAUAAUGGAUUGUUCUAACACUGUGUAUAAGGUGAUAAUGGAGUGUUCUAACACUGUGUAUAAUGGAGUGUAAUAACACUGUGUAUAAUGUGAUAAUGGAGUGUUCUAACACUGUGUAUAAGGUGAUAAUGGAGUGUUCUAACACUGUGUAUAAGGUGAUAAUGGAGUGUUCUAACACUGUGUAUAAGGUGAUAAUGGAGUGUUCUCACACUGUGUAUAAGGUGUUAAUGGCCAGCUACAGUUGUUCCCUGGUGACCUGUAUCAUUGUGU